RNAcentral lists this ribosomal RNA (301 nucleotides) under uncultured bacterium. RNAcentral describes it as "partial 16S ribosomal RNA". It matches the Rfam family "Bacterial small subunit ribosomal RNA", at positions 509 to 807 of the family's 1533-position model. The record is from RNAcentral.
CAGCAGCCACGGUAAUACGAAGGGGGCUAGCGUUGUUCGGAAUUACUGGGCGUAAAGCGCACGUAGGCGGAUAUUUAAGUCAGGGGUGAAAUCCCAGAGCUCAACUCUGGAACUGCCUUUGAUACUGGGUAUCUUGAGUAUGGAAGAGGUGAGUGGAAUUCCGAGUGUAGAGGUGAAAUUCGUAGAUAUUCGGAAGAACACCAGUGGCGAAGGCGGCUCACUGGUCCAUUACUGACGCUGAGGUGCGAAAGCGUGGGGAGUAAACAAGAUUAGAUACCCCGGUAGUCCCUGUCUCUUAUAC